UCCUACGGGAGGCAGCAGUGGGGAAUUUUCCGCAAUGGGCGAAAGCCUGACGGAGCAAUACCGCGUGAGGGAAGACGGCCUAUGGGUUGUAAACCUCUUUUUUCAGGGAGGAAUUUUGACGUGUACCUGAAAAAUAAGCAUCGGCUAACUCCGUGCCAGCAGCCGCGGUAAGACGGAGGAUGCAAGUGUUAUCCGGAAUCACUGGGCGUAAAGCGUCUGUAGGUGGUUAAGCAAGUCAACUGUUAAAUCUUGAGGCUCAACUUCAAAAUCGCAGUCGAAACUGUUUGACUAGAGUAUAGUAGGGGUAAAGGGAAUUUCCAGUGGAGCGGUGAAAUGCGUAGAUAUUGGAAAGAACACCGAUGGCGAAGGCACUUUACUGGGCUAUUACUGACACUCAGAGACGAAAGCUAGGGUAGCAAAUGGGAUUAGAUACCCCAGUAGUCCUAGCCGUAAACAAUGGAUACUAGAUGUUGAACAGAUCGACCUGUGCAGUAUCAAAGCUAACGCGUUAAGUAUCCCGCCUGGGAAGUAUGCUCGCAAGAGUGAAACUCAAAGGAAUUGACGGA
This 566-nucleotide ribosomal RNA is filed under the name uncultured bacterium. RNAcentral's name for it is "bacterial SSU rRNA". It matches the Rfam family "Bacterial small subunit ribosomal RNA", at positions 337 to 917 of the family's 1533-position model. The record is from RNAcentral.